This 427-nucleotide ribosomal RNA is filed under the name uncultured bacterium. RNAcentral's name for it is "bacterial SSU rRNA". It matches the Rfam family "Bacterial small subunit ribosomal RNA", at positions 355 to 774 of the family's 1533-position model. The record is from RNAcentral.
UGGGGAAUUUUGGACAAUGGACGCAAGCCUGAUCCAGCAAUGCCGCGUGCAGGAUGAAGGCCUUCGGGUUGUAAACUGCUUUUGUACGGAGCGAAAAGGUCUGCCCUAAUACGGUGGGCUCAUGACGGUACCGUAAGAAUAAGCACCGGCUAACUACGUGCCAGCAGCCGCGGUAAUACGUAGGGUGCGAGCGUUAAUCGGAAUUACUGGGCGUAAAGCGUGCGCAGGCGGUUAUAUAAGACAGAGGUGAAAUCCCCGGGCUCAACCUGGGAACUGCCUUUGUGACUGCAUAGCUAGAGUACGGUAGAGGGGGAUGGAAUUCCGCGUGUAGCAGUGAAAUGCGUAGAUAUGCGGAGGAACACCGAUGGCGAAGGCAAUCCCCUGGACCUGUACUGACGCUCAUGCACGAAAGCGUGGGGAGCAAACA